UCUAAUGGCUUCAUUAUGAGCAUGGGAAACCACACGAGAAUAUUUUGGAUCACCUCCAAAAGUUCAAUCUCGUGAAUUAUGGCCCGUCUAUUGAGAGCGAAAAUAACUUGACCCCAAAAAAAAAAAAAAAAGUGAAAUGUGAAAAAAAAAAAUGAAAGAAUGUGAAAAAGGAUGAGAUAUGAUUAUAAAGGAAAUUGCAUUAGGAAAUUCACCCUUAGCGAAGAACUGGGUCUGAUCGGAUUGAGUUGUAUCAUCUUGUUGUUGCAUUUUAAACCUUAACUUUG
RNAcentral lists this long non-coding RNA (284 nucleotides) under Salvia miltiorrhiza (redroot sage). RNAcentral's name for it is "long non-coding RNA (SMIL_LNC003354)". The record is from RNAcentral. Lineage: Eukaryota; Viridiplantae; Streptophyta; Magnoliopsida; Lamiales; Lamiaceae.